GUGCCAGCAGCCGCGGUAAUACGGAGGGUGCAAGCGUUAUCCGGAUUUACUGGGUUUAAAGGGUGCGUAGGUGGGUCUGUAAGUCAGUGGUGAAAUCUUCGAGCUUAACUCGGAAACUGCCAUUGAUACUAUAGGUCUUGAAUCAUCUGGAGGUGAGCGGAAUAUGUCAUGUAGCGGUGAAAUGCUUAGAUAUGACAUAGAACACCGAUUGCGAAGGCAGCUCACUACGGAUGUAUUGACACUGAGGCACGAAAGCGUGGGGAUCAAACAGGAUUAGAAACCCGUGUAGUCC
This 292-nucleotide ribosomal RNA is filed under the name uncultured bacterium. RNAcentral's name for it is "partial 16S ribosomal RNA". It matches the Rfam family "Bacterial small subunit ribosomal RNA", at positions 505 to 796 of the family's 1533-position model. The record is from RNAcentral.